RNAcentral lists this ribosomal RNA (295 nucleotides) under uncultured eukaryote. RNAcentral's name for it is "partial 18S ribosomal RNA". It matches the Rfam family "Eukaryotic small subunit ribosomal RNA", at positions 1470 to 1796 of the family's 1831-position model. The record is from RNAcentral.
CCCUUAGAUGUCCUGGGCCGCACGCGCGCUACACUGAUGCAGGCACUAAGUUCCGUGGCAGACAUGUCCCGGGAACCUUCAAACUGCAUCGUGAUGGGGAUUGACUCUUGGAAUUCUUGGUCAUGAACGAGGAAUACCUAGUAAACGCAAGUCAUCAGCUUGCAUUGAUUACGUCCCUGCCCUUUGUACACACCGCCCGUCGCUCCUACCGAUUGAGUGGUGAGGUGAGCCCUCCGGACCGCCUAGCGGGAAGCUGUGCAAACCUUACCACUUAGAGGAAGGAGAAGUCGUANCA